UUCGUGCGGCACGCUUAUGUGGCGAGUUCCACUUCAUCCGUGUGAGAAGUUGAUAACGCAACGAAGGCAGAAUCGCGUCAAACUUCUCCUCGCGAUUCUUCACCACGAAACCUAGCCACUCCUCCCUCUCCGAAUCGUCGAACGCGCCUUCCUCUCUGAAUCGCCAAAGCGCCCCCCUCCUUCGCCCCCCUCGCGGCAAAUGCGCCCUGAAGCUACGAGACCGGACCUACGACUCUCUCUCGCAUCGAGCCCUCUUAUACCGCGAGCUCUCCCUCGCCGCGAGCUUUCCCUUGCCGCAAGCCCUCUCUUGACCAGCAAGCUCUCCCUCUCCGCGAGCCCUCUCCUUCCUAUGUCUCACCACUCACUGACGAACUAGGGCAUCAUUAUCCGCUCCUCUCAUUUAGUGCUGCAGGAAGUUCAUUUGGAUCAUACUUUCUUCUCUGGUUCAUUUAGAGCAGCAUUGCCCAAGCCUAGCCUCAGGUGUCUUGUGUCGCUACCGUGGAGGUACAAGGUGUUGGUUCCAUGGCCCAAGAGCAGAGACAUGGUGAGAUUGAUUCUUGGUUUCUCGUUGCUUCCGAUUCCCGUGUUGACUCGUACUGAUCUGAAAAGGAGGAACGUGCUACCACUUUGAGAAGAAUAUGUCAACAGAUUUGGUAUGAUAAUGUUCCUCGCACCAAACUCGUUGAAUAUAAGAAAGACCAAAACUGAGUACGGAGGUGUUUACUUGGUUUUCCUUCUUAGUGGAACUCAAUUUAAAGAUGGUGUUUCUAAAUACAUCGAGUUCAUCGAGCAAGUGGGAAGCCACUGGAGCUCAAUAGGAUUCUUAGACCUGGAGGUUUCUUUGUUUGGUCUACAACACAUGUUUACCGCUAAUGAGAGGGACCAAAGCAUCUGGAAGUGUAGUGACAUUUGUCAAUUUCUUUAAAUUUCAUGACCUCCUUUGUCAUCAGCAAGACUACGUGGCUUUCGGGAGCUAUACUAUCUUAAAUUUUUAUCUAGUACCUUUUUAAAUUUUUGUCUGGAUCUGCUACUGAUAUUGACUGACGCAAACUUGGUUUGUAAAUGGUUAAAUGUUGUAAUUCUAGAUGUAAACUUGGUUUGUUAAUUUAUAUCAUUAAACACUAUUGAAUAAUGUUGGUGUUGUAAUUGUGGUAUGAUAAUGUUGUUGUAGCUUUCAAUAUAUUUGAGGAUCUUGUCAGUUUGAUCCUCUUCAAUUUCAA
Long non-coding RNA from Zingiber officinale, 1220 nucleotides. RefSeq lists it as uncharacterized. The transcript has 4 exons. The record is from RefSeq and is a predicted model, not a curated record. NCBI's taxonomy places the organism in Eukaryota, Viridiplantae, Streptophyta, Magnoliopsida, Zingiberales, Zingiberaceae.